Molecule: non-coding RNA, 27 nt
Filed under: Mus musculus (house mouse)
Lineage: Eukaryota; Metazoa; Chordata; Mammalia; Rodentia; Muridae
Source: RNAcentral
UGCCAUUAAUCACCAGACCAACGUCAG